Molecule: non-coding RNA, 115 nt
Organism: Paramuricea clavata
Lineage: Eukaryota; Metazoa; Cnidaria; Anthozoa; Malacalcyonacea; Plexauridae
Source: the annotation of a GenBank genome assembly
UGACGUUUCGGCUACCUACACGGCGGCCAUUAUCAAAGACUAAGAUAAUUGUAAAAAUUUUUUGUAACUGUAAUAUGUCUUUGAUAAUGGCCGCCGUGUAGGUAGCCGAAACGUC